RNAcentral lists this small RNA (127 nucleotides) under Marmota monax (woodchuck). The record is from RNAcentral. Lineage: Eukaryota; Metazoa; Chordata; Mammalia; Rodentia; Sciuridae.
ACCGGGCACCGGGGUGCGCGCCUGUAAUCCCAGCAGCUGGGGAGGCUGAGGCAGGAGGAUCGCAAGUUGGAGGCCAGCCUCAGCAACUUCGCGAGGCCCAAAGCAACUCUGUGAGAUCCUGUCUCAA